ACCACACCCAGCCACCUUUUGCUUUAAACAGUUCAGCUUUCUCAUUUCAAGGUACUCUGCGUUGUUCCUCAAAGCCUUUCACAUCUGAAAUGCCCACAUUACUUGAAUCAAACCACAAAGGUGAACCACACAUGGUCCUUAUUAUCUAGGAUAUGAAACAUUGUCCCAUGGAGAAAAUAAUGUCCCAUGGAGAAAAUAUUGUCCCAUGGAGAAAACAACUUAUCAAACAAAAAUAACCAAAAAGGUCAGAAUAUAUUUUUCUUGUUUUUGUUUAAGCCCUUCUUCUUGCACACUGAAGAAUAUAAAGAAUUUAUUCAAGCACAAAGCAUAAGGAUUGAACACCUGGAAAUACCAAUUCCAAAGUGAUAGAGAUAGCAUUCUGAAAUAGGGAAGUUCAGAUUUCGUUUAUAAAGUUAGAGGAGCUUUUAGCAAGGCUCUGCACAACUUCAGGGGAGAAUAGCUGAAGGCAACUGUUCUCUAACCUUGAGGCAGAGGGUAAGGAGCAAGUGCAAGGGAGCAAGGGGAAAUUAUCUUGAUCAGGCUUGUUUGAAGUUAUCCUGGAAUUGACCUUUGAACAUCCGUGUGUGCGUGUGUGCGUGACAUUCCCUGAAAGGGGAACAAUAAAUAUUAAUUACCCACAGAUUGUGUUUGCCCCAGGCUUUCGGCAUUCUGCCUGCACUGAAUAAAAGCAAGCAGCUCCAGCUUCUCGGGGCUGCACUUUGGCCACUUGAGCCAGGCAGUCUCCUAGCUGCUCUUACACACUGCAUAGCUGUGUGUGAGUACUCUUUUCAUCCAUCAGUCAGCCAGGGUCUGCAGGACAGAUCCGGCAAGUGGUGCCCUGUAUGAGGAAUGCUGCAACGGAUCUGGACUGAACCCUCAAAAAUAAAGUGACUGCUCAGUAAGUAAUUGGUCCCCACUGGGGAUUUCUAAGUUCGAGGGGAUUUUCAAGCUAGGGUUUCAUCAUGGGACAACAGUUAUAAGCUCAACAGCAACAGUAGAUAAAAGUAUUGAAACAGCUGCUUAAAGCUAGUGGAGACUUGGUUUCGGAGGCUCAAUUAAGGGAUGUAAUGCAAACUGUUGUAUUCCAUAACCCAUGGUUCCCAGAAGAAGGCACACUAGACCUAGGGCUCUGGGAGCAAUUGGGAAGAAAUCUUAAACAACAUUAUGUACAAGGGCAACAGGUCCCAGUAACAUCUUUAAUGUUAUGGGCUUUAGUUAGGGCUGCUUUGGCCCUGCUCUACACAGAAGAGCCUAAAAAAGGAGGGGAGGAAGAACCAUCAUCUACCUUACUGCCUCCUCCUCCUCCCUCAGCCCCGCCAUUACCCGGGUAAAGAUACCAAAGAGGAGACGGAGGAUUUUCCUAAUUCCCCUCCCCCAAUAAAUCGGGAAGAAGACAAGAGAUAUACUACAGUUAUGGGACCCUGUCUUAGGCAAGCAGCAUUAGAAGGGGAGCUCCUGGCUUGUCCUGUGAUGGAAGAUCAACAGGCCAAUUGGGUACAUGAGCCUAUUACUUUCAACACUUUUAAGGAAAUCAGGAAAAGCAUUAGAGAAAAUGGACCUGCUAGCCCAUUCACAAGAGGAUUAAUUGAGGUCAUAGCAGAUAACUACCAUAUUGACUCCAUGGGACUGGUCAGUGCUAGCUAAAACAACUUUAGAGGCCCAUCAAUACCUCCUCUAGAGGGCAGAAUAUAAUGAAUUGUGCAAACAACAGGCUAACCAGAAUCAAUUGGCAGGACAGAACAUCAGCUGCUAUGCUCCAGGGGAGGGGUCCCUAUGUUAAUGUACAACAACAAUUAAAUUUUGUCCCUCAAGCCUAUGCGCUACUGUCUUUGUGCACUCACAGGGCCUGGGACCAAAUUCCCGAAGGUAGAGUUCAACAGGGAUCUUUUAUAAAUGUUCCACAAGGUCGUUAGGAGCCAUUUGUUGAAUUUAUCUAUCAGUUAACCCAGGCAAUUAAGAGACAAAUUAGUCAUGCCAAGACCGCUGAUAUCUUAUUGUUGCAAUUGGCCCAUGAAAAUGUUAAUGUGGAUUGCCAGCAAGCAAUGCAAGCAGUCACAGGGAAAGCAGCUACAGUAGGGGAACUCAUACGAGCAUGUCAGCUGGUGGGGACUGAAACACACAAAGCCAGAAUAUUGGCUAUGGCAUUAAAGCCUCCAAAAGUAAAAAGGGAUAAAAAUCCAAAUUGUUUUCAGUGAGGAAAGCCAGGUCAUAUGAAGCGGGAAUGCCCCAAUAGUAAAGACCAAAGUAACUCAGGAAAAGAACCCCUUUCUAUAUAAGGACAAGCCAUAAAACAGAAAAGGGGGAAUAUGAGUAAGGACCCUGCAACACUACUAGCACAAGGCUUAUUUACCCUUAACUUCCUAAAUUUAAACGAUAAAUUUCAAUCAGCCAUAGAAAAGCACUUUGCAAAAACCUUUCAAAACAUAAAACCUUUACUUUUUAUGGAAAGAUGUAAAUAGUAAGCUAUGGUGAGGUCCAAAUGAUUUGUUAACGUGGGGAAGAGGAUAUGCUUGUGUUCACACCCCCUCAGGUCCUCUUUGGAUUUCUGCGCGACAUAUGAAACCAUACCAUGGCAUGGCUGGAACCCAACCCGGUACCAAAAAUAAAGGAAAUGACCCUGCAGGACCUGCAGCCCCAAAACGAUGCGGCUUCCUCGGACGACACAGGCCCCGGACAUUAUGCUGAAGAAGACAACUCAGGAAGCUGAGCAAAUCCUGCUCCAGACACAAACACCAUUCACUCCAGAUAAUCUGUUCCUUGCUAUGCCCUCCGUUGUACAUUGCAACACUCGCAGGGUAUUGGUUUUUCUUAUUCUCUCACUCUGCCUGCAACUCGUACCUGCUACACUCUAUUAGGCCCAUCUUCUAGAUCCACCUUUCUUCCGCCCUGUUACUUGGGCAGACACCCCCUUCCCAGCUUCUACCAAUGUGACUGCUUGGGUAGGAGGGAUAAACAUACCCCUGGUGGGGUUCCUCAGUAACAGCCCUAUAGAACAAUGUGCAAAAUCACCUCUCCUGGAUAGACCCCCACUCCUGUGGGUCACUCUUUGAUUGGAAAUGAAUAUUACUGAUUAUACUCACGCUUGUCUUAUGUUACCUACUGCUUCUGGGAUGCAAAGCUGGAACACAAGCUGUAACCGCUGCACCUGUCAAGCUUGUCACUGCACACAUCUGUAUUCUUCAAUCAACAAAACCUGAUGCAAAAACAGAAAAGGGGGAGAUGUAGGAGAUCAGUCAGAGUGGUGAGAGAAACUGUAAGGAAAGGAGCAGGCCUUCUGAAGGGUCAGAAGGCUCUGCAUAGCUUCGGGGAAGAAUAGCUAAAGGCAGCUGUUCUCUAACCCUGAAGCAGAGGGUGAGGAGUAUGUGCAAGGGGGUGAAGGUGAAAUUAUCUUGAUCAGGUUUGUUCGUUUGAAGUUGUCCAGGAAUUGAACUUUGAACAUCCGUGUGACUGACGUCCCCUGAAAGGGGAACAAUAUGUUAAUUACCCACAGAUUGUGUUUGCUCCAGGCUUUCGGCAUUCUGCCUGCACUGAAUAAAAGCAAGCAGCUCCAGCUUCUGGGGGCUGCACUUUGGCCACUUGAUCCAGGCAGUCCCCUAGCUGCUACACUGCAUACCUGUGUUAUCAAGAACAAAAUGGGGGCUUCUGCACAGCAACUUCAGAAGAUAAGCAGAUUUUCUGGAAAUGGAUUUAGAGCAAGAGAGGAUAUCUAAAAUCAAAGAUAUAUGACACUGCUGGGGCUCAGAAACUGAUAUCCCAAAAUAUUGCACUUUGACAUGCUGAACUGAAGAAGCUACAAGGUCUCUCUGACCUUCUCCCCACCCCUCCUGUCUCUCAAUCCUUUCCGUCUCCCAAAGCACAGGAUGAAGUUGUUUUCAGAAGUUCCUUAUCUGCCUAAAGUCCAAACCUGCCAAAGAAUACAAUUAUCUUUAGUCUCUACUCUGAGUUUUCAUUAAAUGAACUAAUAUCACAGGGAGAAACACAAGCCUGUCAACAAACCUAGAUAGAUUUUGUCACAAACCACUGUCUACUCUGCAGCCCUAACAGACAUUGUCCCAGGCCCUUGCAUGUUCUUCAAGCCCAUUGAAUUCCCCUACAAAUCAUUUAUUAUAUCCCUAAAAACACUUCUCAAGCUCCCAUUUCCCUAGGAAGUAGAAUAAACAUCUAUGUCCAAUUGCAGUAUUGGGUGAUCACUCUAUCCACCCCCCUCUGCAGUGUACACGUUAAUAAUUUCAUAUGCCUUUUAUUAAUUCUGGUCAUUAAUUUAACCUUUUUCUUCUUUGGGGCCCACGUUGAAACCUCUAUUUUCAACUUCUCUUCCAGUUAGGUGUGGCCUUUUAGCUAAGUUCCUGCCAAUGGAACAUAAACACAAGUAAAGAUUGACAUUUCCAGGCCUGGGACAUAAUAACUUUCCACGAAGGAUUUUUCCAUGUUCUUUCCCCUUGCAGGGCAAAUGUAGAAGCCACAUUUAGGAUGGCUAAGCCACAAAGACAGAGGGCAUCUAGGUUCCAGAACCACUGCUAGAAGAAAGAGGGACCUGCUGAUCUAGAAUACCCUUUUUGAACCUCAUAUCCGCAGAAAAUAAACUUGUAUUUAUCUUAACUAGUAUGCUCUGCACCAAAGAAGGGUCUAGAUUCUUAAUUUCUAAAAGGAAAUGCAUUCACUUGUUGCUGGAUGAAUCUUCAGGUCAAAACACUUCAUCUGUAAAAGAAACAUAAGAUUUCAUGGAGAGAAACAAAGCAAAAUGUGGACUUCUUAAGAGUUAACCAGAGGAGAGGAAGCUAUAUUCACAUCUAUCAGCAGUAGAACUUCUGUCCACAGCCUAGUGAUCUUUCAAAUGUGGAUGUGACCAUAAGGAUGAGGUAGUUUCAUUGGAUAUGUUGCCUCUUGGGUCCUCCAUUAGAAAAGCAUAAGGAGGGUUGGAUGCGGUGACUCACAUCUAUAAUUGCAGCACUUUGGGAUGCUGAGGCAGGAGGAUCACUUGAGCCCAGGAGUUCAAGACCAGCCUGGGUAA
This 5011-nucleotide long non-coding RNA is filed under the name Homo sapiens (human). RNAcentral describes it as "HSALNT0333308". The record is from RNAcentral. Lineage: Eukaryota; Metazoa; Chordata; Mammalia; Primates; Hominidae.